RNAcentral lists this ribosomal RNA (497 nucleotides) under uncultured bacterium. RNAcentral describes it as "partial 16S ribosomal RNA". It matches the Rfam family "Bacterial small subunit ribosomal RNA", at positions 28 to 507 of the family's 1533-position model. The record is from RNAcentral.
GAUGAACGCUGGCGGCGUGCCUAAUACAUGCAAGUCGAGCGAACGGAUGAGAAGCUUGCUUCUCCGAUGUUAGCGGCGGACGGGUGAGUAACACGUGGAUAACCUACCUAUAAGACUGGGAUAACUUCGGGAAACCGGAGCUAAUACCGGAUAAUAUUUUGAACCGCAUGGUUCAACAGUGAAAGACGGUCUUGCUGUCACUUAUAGAUGGAUCCGCGCUGCAUUAGCUAGUUGGUAAGGUAACGGCUUACCAAGGCAACGAUGCAUAGCUGACCUGGGAGGGUGAUCGGCCACACUGGAACUGAGACACGGUCCAGACUCCUACGGGAGGCAGCAGUAGGGAAUCUUACGCAAUGGGCGAAAGCCUGACGGAGAAACGCCGCGUGAGUGAUGAAGGUCUUCGGAUCGUAAAACUCUGUUAUUAGGGAAGAACAUAUGUGUAAGUAACUGUGCACAUAUUGACGGUACCUACUCAGAAAGCCACGGCUAACUACGUG